RNAcentral lists this non-coding RNA (34 nucleotides) under unclassified sequences. Its description in RNAcentral is "S4-Flavobacteria ribosomal protein leader". It matches the Rfam family "S4-Flavobacteria ribosomal protein leader". The record is from RNAcentral.
GAUUAUCGAAGGAAUAAAGCCUUAAUUCAUAAUC